Molecule: ribosomal RNA, 253 nt
Filed under: uncultured bacterium
Lineage: Bacteria
Description: partial 16S ribosomal RNA
Rfam family: Bacterial small subunit ribosomal RNA
Source: RNAcentral
UACGUAGGGUGCGAGCGUUAAUCGGAAUUACUGGGCGUAAAGGGCUCGUAGGCGGCCAACUAAGUCAGACGUGAAAUCCCCAGGCUCAACCUGGGAACUGCGUCUGAUACUGGAUGGCUUGAAUCCGGGAGAGGGAUGCAGAAUUCCAGGUGUAGCGGUGAAAUGCGUAGAUAUCUGGAGGAAUACCGGUGGCGAAGGCGGCAUCCUGGACCGGCAUUGACGCUGAGGAGCGAAAGCCAGGGGAGCGAACGGG